UCCACAAAUUUUUUAUGUUUAUUUACUAUAAUCCAUAUGUUUUGAUAUUUUGGGUUUUUCAUUCAGUUAAAAAUAGUUUAUGGUUUUCUUUCUGACUUAAAAAAAAUCCCAAUUAUUUAAAUGUGUGUUUUUGGUUUUGUUUUAUAUUUUGAUGGUAGGGCUGGGGAUCAAACCCAGGCCCUCACGCAUGCUAGGCCAGCAGUAUACCACAUACCCAGCUCCCAAACUGUAAUUUUUUUUUAAUUUCAAAAUAUUUUGGUAUUUCCAGAUACCUCUCUGUUUAAUUUCAUAUGGCAGAAAAUGCAUCCUGCAUUAUUUUAAUUGUUUUAAGUUCAUUAAUGUUUUGUGACCCAAAAUGUGGUCCACUGCGAUGUGUGUUCAUGUGUACUUGCAGAGAGUUUUUAGAUGGAGUGCUUUGUAAAUCUCAAUCAGGUCAACUUGGUUUAGUGCUCAGGCCUCACACUUUCUUGCUGCUGUCCUGUACUUGUUUUAUUAUUGAUAACUGGACAGGAAUGUUGAACUCUCCAAGAAGAGUUGUAGAUUUGUCUAGUUCUCUUUAUCUUUUUUUUUCUUUGAAAACUUUCCACAUUUAUUUACACAUAGCUUAAGGAAUCAUUUCCCAACCCUAUUUAAUAUUUGCAGAUUUCUUUAGUUGGAAACAAAAAUUCAAAAUACAGCAAGUACAGGCGCGGGUGUCACUCCAGCAGGGCUUGCCCUCUUGAUCUUGCCUUUCAGCAGAUGGGCUGAAGUUGGAGAGGUGGCAGUCAGACACAAAAAUGUUUGCUUUAAUUUCUUCCAUCCAUCAAGUCAUAAAGGAAGCUGCCACGGAGCCUCAGAAUCAGUAUCCAAAAAUGUGGGCUGGUCCAGUAGCUAGUAGCUCAGUGGUAGAGUACUAACCCUGCGUUAAAAAAAAAUGGAAUGGAUUAGUUUAAAUGAGAUAAUUACCAGAUUGAUGAGCAGUGGUUAAAAGAAACAAGACCUUUGGUGCAUAGGCAAAAUUACCACAUUACUUGCAGAAGCAGAAUUCUCUAGGACCUUUCUGUAGCCCUUUAUUUACAUACAUUUUAAAAAGUUACUGCAAGAUAGUUUAAAAUUUUAACCAAAACAAGAAAAGUAUGAAGUGAACAGUCAAUGACACUAAAUUCAACUGUUUAUGAAUCAAGGAACUUAAAAAGCAAAUCUGGGAAUUGAAUUCCCUUAUGACUCUAGGGCUUCAGUUAGAAUCUUUUUCUGUUGAUGCUAUUUCUAUUUUAUUCUUUCAAUAUAGUCUCUUCAGAGUCAGAAAAAUGACUUCAGCAACUUUAUGAAAAUCAGCAAUUUUUGAGAGGAUGUACCUGGGAAAUCCAGUGAGCUUUUUUUUUUAGAAUUUUUUUUUAGUAUUUAUAUUUUAGUCAUCGUCGGACUCAACAUCUUUGUUGGUAUGUGGUGCUGAGGAUGGAACCCGGGCCGCACGCAUGCCAGGCGAGUGCCCUACCGCUUGAGCCACAUCCCCAGCCCCCAGUGAGCUUUUCACAGGAGCUGACUUCUGCUCAGCUUCCCUCCCUCCCUGCGGUGGGCUGGCGGGUGCCUGGCCCCUCCACGGGGUCUUCACCCCACACUUCUCCUUGGGAUGUCUUUAACCAGAAGGCCCAGGCCCAGGGCUGGUAGGAGUACCGGUGAGAAGCGCCAGGCUUGCGAGGCUCUUUCCCUCUGCUCUGGGGGCUGGGGCUUCCUUCCCGGGGACGACCUUGGGUCUGGGUGUCAGGUGGCCUGAACACAGAAGGUAAGCUGUGGGUGCGCGUGGACAGAAAAAGUGAUCGAAUAGACUGUGGGCCUUGGACAUCAGGUCUCUCUGUUCCACUGUGGGGACUGAGCAUGGGAAUUGGCCUUUUGAAAAUGCCCUUGGCUAGUCGAUGGGGACCCCCAUUACUAAGGGGAUCCCUGAUGUCUCUGACUGGAAGACAGCUUGGAGUCUCAGACAUUAGAUGUGGGAACUUGCGAGUAGAUUUUCCACUGAAUGUCUGGCCUGCCCUCGGUGAUGGUGCCUCUGCUUGGCGGAGCACCAGCUCCUACUGUUGUGGGGAAUUCGGGUGUCACCAGAGAAGUGCUGGGCUGUGGUCCACAGGCUUGUUUACUGGGCCCCGGGGAGUGCGAGUGGUCGCUUUCUACAGAAGCCACAGCGACAUUUGGGACCCUCCAGUGGUUGCUGGUGGAAUGGCGAUGGAGCUUCCUGGGAACCUUGGCAAAGAUCUGCCCAGGAGGCACCAAUAGAGGAAUGAAAAGCAGUCACCACGCAGGCGCUGGUGGCCUUUGGCUUGGGGAACAGGCCCAAUUCCAGCCCACACCUGCCCUGCGGGCGGCCACGUUCCCCUCAAGUGUUCAGCGUCUAGUUCUCUUUGAUUUCCACCUGGCUUUGCCUCACAUAUUUGAAGGCUCUGUUCUUCAGGGGCGUCACACCUAGGGAAUAUUUUACCUUUGGUAAAUUGAGCCUUUGUUAUUGUGUGAAGUCCCAUUUCACCCCUGGUAUGGUUUCUGUUCUGAAGUCUCCUUUGUCUAUAUUAACAUUGCCACUCGAGUUUCUUUUGAUGCCUAUUUUCAUUCUGUAAUCCUCUUUCAUCCCUCUGCUUUUUAAAAAAAAAAAUUUUUUUUUUUUUUAGUUGAUGGACCUUUAUUUCAUUUAUUGUUUUUAUAUGCGGUGCUGAGAAUCCAACCCAGUGCCUCACACAUGGGAGACAAGCCCUCUACCACUGAGCCACAACCCCAGCACCAUCUUUCUGCUUUUAACCUGUGUAAUUUUAUUUAAAGGUGAGUUUGUAUAAAUAGAGCACACAUUUGGGGCUUGUAUUUUCAAUCCAAACUGAUAAUCUCUGUCUUUUAAUUGGUGUAUAUAGACCAUUUAAAUUUAAUGUAAUGAUUAAUAUGGUUGAGUUUAAGCUUCCUAUUUUGUCAUUUGUUCUGUUUGUUCCUACUGGUUUUUAUUGCUCGGUUACCUCUUUCUCCCAAUUUUUGGGAUCAUUUAAAUAUUUUUGGUACUUUCUGAUUUAUUUAUUUAUUUUUGUGGUUCUAGGGAUUGAAAACGGGACUUCAUGCAUGUUAAGCAAGCACUUCACUAAGCGACACCUCAAACCCUAUUAUGGUUUGGAUGUGAGGUGUCCCCAAAAAGCUCACAUGUGAGACAAUGCAAGAAAGUUCAAAGGAGAAAUGAUUGGGUUGUAAGAGUCUUAACCCCAUCAGUGUUUUAAUCCCACUGGUAGAGAUUAAUUGAGUGGUAACUGAAGAGGUAGGGUGUGGCUGGAGGAGGUGGGAGCUGGGGUGUGGCUUUGGGGUAUAUAUAUUCUGUAUCUAUCUGGAGAGUGGAGUCCCCUCCCCCCCCCCCGUGCUGGGGAUCCAACCCAGGGCCGUGUGCAUGCAGGGCAAACACCCUACCAACUGAGCUAUAUCCAUAGCCCCUCUCUGCUUCUUGAUUACCGUGAUGUGAGCUGCUUCCCUGUGCCACACACUAGGCCAUAGUUCAGCCUCACCUUGAGCCCCAAGAAAUGGAGCCUUUUAUGGACUAAGGCCUCUGAAACCGUGAGCCCUCAAAUAAAUCCUUUCUCCUCUUCAGUUGUUCUGGUCAGACCUUUAGUCACAGCAGCAAAAAAGCUGACUAAAACAAGCCCCUGGUACUAUAUUUAAUUUACCUACACUAGUGCUUGUUGUCCAUAUCUGUUAGUAUUAUUACAUAGGAGUUGCUCUGGACUGCACAACAUACAUCCCUCAUUUUUAAUAGUCUAUCUAAAUUUAAUAUCUUAAUACUUAAAGUAAAAUGUACAAGCCUUAUAAACAUAUUUUACCCUCCUCUUUAUACUUUAGUUGUAUAUCUCUACAUUCAUCAAACAUUUUACCAACAAUAUAUUUUUCUUUCCGCAGUCAAAAUAUUUUAAAGAACUUUAGAAAACAGUCUAUUCUAUUUAGUCAGAUAUUAACCACUUCUCUCGCUCUUUCAUUCCUAGAGCACCAAGUUUCUCUCUCAUCUCCUCAGCCCAAAAAACUUCACUUAAUAUUUAUUUUAGAACAAGUCUGUUGGCAACAAUUUUUUUACAUUUUCCUUCAUCUGAGAACAUCUGUUUGACUCCAUUCCUUAAGAAUAUUUCACCUAAACCUAGAGCACUGUUCCACUGCCCUCUGUCCUCCAGGGUUCCUGAUGACAAAUCUGCAGUCCCUCUCAUCCUUCCCACGUCUGCUAUGUCACGUUUCCCAUGUCACGUUUCCCGGCUGCUUCCUAGAGCUGCUUCCCAGAGCUUUAUCUCUGGUUGUGGGCAGUUGAGUGGGUGUAUAUGGGCCCAUUUUCUUUGAGUUUAUCUUGUUGGAUGGCUUAUGGAGCAUCUUGAAUCUGUAAAGUUGUUUUUCACCAAAAUCUGAGGAGUUUUGGUCAUUAUUUUUUCAAAUGUUUUCUGUACCAGUCUGUUUCCCCUUUAUUCCUGAGACUCCAGUGGCAGAGGUGUUAGACCUUUCAGUGUUGUCCCAGAGGGCUCUGCGCCUCCUGUUCAGUAGUUUUAAUCAUUUUUCUCUGUUCUUCACAUUGAAAAUUUUUGAUCUUCAAGUUCACUAACGCUUUCCUAUGUUGUCUCAUUCUGCUGUGUUGUUUCAGACAGUGUGUUUUUCAGUUCUAAAGUUGCCAUUUAGUUCCCAUUUCUUCCUCAUGGUUUCUGUUUCUCUGCUGAGAAACUAGCACCUUUACCUUCAUUUAAAGUGCAUUCAUCUUCCCUCAAGAGGUUAUGUCCGUCACUUUAACACCAGUGUCCAUUCCGUUAUCUGAGUCAGCUCAGCAUUGCCAUCUGACAGUUCUUUCCCUUCAUUUGUUCACAUUUUCCUGGUUCUUUAUACGUUGAAGAAUUUUUGACACUUUGAUGAUUCUCUUGGGAGACUCCAUGUUCUGUUGUAAUCCUCUGGAGAAUAUUGAUUGGUUGCUGCUGUGUGGCAGGCAAUCACCUGAUUAGACUCAUACCACAAGUUCUACCUUGUUCUCUAUGAAUGGUGUUUCCUGCGCCACCUAAGUUGUUAAAACCUUUCCUGUGCUCCUUUGGGCCUUGCCUUUGCAUGUGCCACUCUGAGGUUAACUGGAAGCAUGAUGGUAGUUCAGUUCUCAAAGCUCUUGUAUCCUACUUUGGAUUCACUCCUGCAGAGUUUAAGGUCGAACCCAGGAUUUGUUCCAAUUCAUACUUAGAACUGGGAGGGUCCCCUUCUUCAGCUCUGCCCCCUCUGCGAUUCCCUGAACACUUUCUGGAUCCCAGGAGCCUCUUUCCCAACCCUCUGGCCAGCAAUCCGGAUUUUCUUUCAGAGUUCCAACUGCACUUCCUACCACUGGGGUUGGCUGAAGAACAGGGCUGGAGGAGGAAAAAGGGAGAGGAAGAAAAAGAGAAAAACCAGGGAUUUCUCUGUACUCUUUGAUUUGUGAAGGCCCCUUUUCUUGGUUCUGUGGCCAAGAAGACAGAGUCGGAGAGGUCCAUGGUGGGCUGCCUUCCUGUCAAACACGGGGAAGCAACAGAGGAAACCAGACCAGCAACACAGCCCUCCUCUCCACCUUCAGCUUUGACUCCCCGGCAGUCUGUGGCCUACUGUUUACUCUUCAGGGGUCUCAAGUUUGAUCUCGUUCCUCCAAGACGGCUUGUUUGCUAAGAGGACUUAGCAGGCACUGGAAAGAGACCUUGUCCUCCUUUCCUCUUCAUGGAAGUCUCAAUGUCACAUUCUGUGCAAACCCUCAAGUGUUGUAGUAUCUGUAUUCAGAACACGCAUGCAUACACCACACACAUAUCCAGUCUCUUUUUCCAAUUUGUAGAGCAAAUUCAACCCCUGGGUAGGGAAGCCCAAGAAAACAAUUUCCUGACACAAUGCCUUUUAAAAUUCAGCCUGGAGACUGCAUCUGUAGUCCUUUGGACCUUUGCAAGAGAUCAGAGUUCUGCCUGCAUUAGAGGAUGAUUGCUUUACAGCUGGAGAUUCCAUUUGUAUUGAGCUCGGCUCCUGGUCCACGUGAGGCCUGUACUGAAGAGCUGACUGGUGAGCCUCAGCACGGCAGCCUCCUCCCCCACCUCCCCUCUCUGCUCACCAGUCGUGCCAACUAUUUGUGGAGGCUACAGUUUUUAGAAGGAAAAACAGUGAAUGGUUUGACCACGGGAAAUAUGAGACUCACACCACAAGUUCUACCUUGUUCUCUUGUAGCUGAGGAAUCUGAUGGUUCUUUUCUAGUCACUGAGCCUCUGGGUUUCUAAGUAUGGGUGGCCUUGCACGUUCACCAAAGAACUUCUGUCUGAGUGUUCCUGCAUACAUAUUACCCAAGAUGAGCCAAACCUGUUAGAAAAAAUGACUCUGUUGUCUCUUAUUAUCUUUCUUCUUCUUCUUUAUCACUUAACAAAUGAGUCUGGCAUAUAUUAAUAAAUAUAUCAUCUGAGAGA
Molecule: long non-coding RNA, 6410 nt
Organism: Marmota monax (woodchuck)
Lineage: Eukaryota; Metazoa; Chordata; Mammalia; Rodentia; Sciuridae
Exons: 2
Source: RefSeq, a predicted model, not a curated record